Molecule: long non-coding RNA, 234 nt
Filed under: Capsicum annuum
Lineage: Eukaryota; Viridiplantae; Streptophyta; Magnoliopsida; Solanales; Solanaceae
Description: long non-coding RNA (CANN_LNC019667)
Source: RNAcentral
UUUCUCCUGAUAGAGACGAAUUAGAGACUCUUGUGCUUAGCACAAGGAUUAUACUCACUAAUUUUUUUGAAAGGGUAUUUGAUACAAAGUUUUCUGGCAAUUCCCUUUAUGAAUGGCUCCUGUCCUAAUAAUUUUGAAGUUCUCUUUGAAAGAAUGAAAAAGAUCUUGUCCGACCCGGACAUAGUGUCUUCCAGCUUUGGUCCCCUUUCUCUCUACUUUAAGUAUCGCAUAAUG